RNAcentral lists this ribosomal RNA (258 nucleotides) under uncultured bacterium. RNAcentral describes it as "partial 16S ribosomal RNA". It matches the Rfam family "Bacterial small subunit ribosomal RNA", at positions 524 to 776 of the family's 1533-position model. The record is from RNAcentral.
UACGAAGGGGAUGAGCGUUAUCCGGUUUUAUUGGGCGUAAAGGUCUUGAAAAUGGUGGCCCUUUGUUGGUUUAGUGUGAAAUCCUGAUCAAGAACAGGUAGGCACUUUUGACUAAAGGAGCUUGAGUAUUUGGGAAGCAAACAGAAUUACGCGAGGGAGGAGUGAAAUCCUUAGACAUGCGUAGGAAUGCCGCUAGGCGAAAGCAGUUUGUUAUCAUCUUACUGACGCUGAAGGACGAAGGCGUGGUGAGCAAACAGG